RNAcentral lists this long non-coding RNA (1627 nucleotides) under Sus scrofa (pig). RNAcentral's name for it is "lncRNA (ENSSSCG00025026473.1)". The record is from RNAcentral. Lineage: Eukaryota; Metazoa; Chordata; Mammalia; Artiodactyla; Suidae.
GGAUCUAGUCUGUGGCUACAUGUCUAGAAUGAAAAUAAUGUCAGAAGUAUGGUUCUCUACAUCAUUUUAUCUUAACAUCUGACUAUCUAAUAAUUAGCCUGAUUAUCUAACAAUCUAAAUCAGUUGUCAUGAUAUUGAAAAUAUCAAACUUUCUACCUUCCAGUUAAUUUCCUUAUCUACAUUUUCAUAGAAUACCAAGAUUCUUUUUUAACGAAAAAGAAAGAUGGGGGAAUAUUAUCUCCUAGCCCCUGAAUUCUGGAGUCUUCUAAUGAUUAUUUUUACCAAGUAAAUAAAUCCAAGAGUCAACGAAAUGUGGUUUACUGCUAUGCUUCCUGGAAUUUCUUGCAGAAUUAUAGCAUCUCAGAGUUGGAAGGAAUUCUUCAUAUGACCACACUGAAUUCUUUUCCUGUCGGUCUGCAUCACAUUUGUGAAGACAAGUGGCCUGCGUGGCCCAGCGUCCUGAGCCCAGAGAGAACAGCAGGCCCUCGGUCUGUACCAGAUGGUUUUGUAAACCAAAAGCAAUCACUGCAAGUGCACUGGUUUAAGGGGAAUGUCCAAGAAAAUUGCCUUCCUUCUCUUCGGAACGUAUCAUUACAGAAAAAUAGAAGGCCCUGCAUUCCAAUCUGAUGUGCAUUUAACUCUGCAAGCCUGUAAAUUCCGCCAUGAGGUAAGGGGCUGAUUCGGAGCUCCAGAAUCCUUUUGGUGCCACAGAAAGGAUUUUAAAAUGGAUACCCUUGGGGUUUCUCAGUGUUAUUCUGCAAGGGUCGUGUAAUAGAUGGGGCUCUGUCUGAUGAGCUGUCCCAGCCCUGGUAAACAAGACCAGGAUGCCUGGUAGCCCACAGAGCCACCUUGUAUUUUAAAGGUUAGGAGGUGACAUCUUGCGGGUUUGAGCUUGGUUUCAAGUGUGCACGUAUCUUGGUUGGAGAAGCAAUAACAUUACCCUGAUGGAGUCUGGCCUACCCCCAGCAAAGGUCUGGCUAUAAUUAAUUAAAGAAAUACUUCCUGUGGAAUGCUUUACCUUGUAGAUCCUGAACAAAGGAUCCACAUUCCAGGAGGCACAGGAAAGCGUUAUUCUCAAGCUUCCUGUCCCCUGCGGUGUGUAGAGACUUGAAUGCCACCACGUAGACUAGAGAUCAUAAUUGACACAUUCUUUAAAUUUUCCUAUACCUGUAGCCCCAGGCCUCCUUUCCCCUCUUUAUUUUCUUUUCUCCUGAUCUUCCGGGGAGGUGAUAAUUAACAGAUUUAAAGGCGUGCUCCUCGCACCAAGGACACAUUGGGAAGAGACCCCACUGGAAGAAAAAUAACCUGUAUUAGAGCCUAUAAUUGUAGUGAUCUAUUCGCUUCAUAACAGCUUGUUUUUCUAUAGCAUUUUACUGUUUGUUUGUUUUACUUUUUAGGGCUGCACCUGCAACAUGUGGAAGUUCCCAGGCUAGGGGUGGAGUCAGAGAUGCAGCCGCAGGCCUACACCACAGCCACAGCAAAGUCAGAUCCUUAACUCUCGGAGCAAGGCCAAGGAUCAAGCCUGCAUCCUCAUGGGUACCAGUCGGGUUUAUAACCUGUGGAGCCACAACAGGAACUCCAACAUUUCACUGUGUAUAAAUCACUUUACAUAUACGAUUUUUUUUGU